UUUUUUUUUUUUUUUUUUUUUUUUAAAGAAGCAGUUGCAGGGGGAAGAGAUGAUUCACAUGAUACUUUGAUAUUUCCUGUUUUUAGGAGCUCGUGUUCAGCCUGCAACUUAUUUCUUAAAAAAAAAAAAUUAGAAGUGAUUGAAAUCCUGUGUGCGCGUUUUUUAGAUGUUUAAAAAGAAAGCGUGGGUGAGGCCCCUGGGAAAAGCCCAGCUCCAAGCUUACAACCUGUUGCAGCUUUGCCCCACUGUGUUUUGAUUAGAAGGCUUGCUUCGUCAUCAGAGCUGAUUGUGGAUUUGAUUAGUGUGUUUUUCUGCCGUGGGUUGUUCUCUUUCCCCCUUUCUCAGUUCUUGGAGGCGAACGAAUGCACAUUGUGGUUAUCUGCCAACAGGCGAGAAUGUUUACGGUUCACGUAUCACUGCCUCUCCCCUGGGUUAAUUCUCUAGAGACACUUUAAAGGUAGAGUAGGGGGUUUAUUUGGGCGAUCACUCGGUGUGUAUACAUCUUUGUAUAAAUAUGCCUACGUCUACACACACACACACACACACACACACACACGUACACAGCUCUAUACACAUGGAAAAGCUUCAAGUAUGGAGCACAUGUAAUCACACACGUACUUCAAAAGGGAGGCUGGGCGAGUUACAGCCUAAAGUUCAGCUUUGAUAAUGGCUGGGUUUACAUCUUGCUUUUCACACUUUCUCGGUGACCAAGAUUUGAAACACCGGCUCGCUGCCCAUUUUUAUUUACUUACAAGAUGUGAGGGCUGCAGCUUCACCAGGGGUGCUCUACUCAGACCCCUGUCCGUCUCCUGAAGCCGGUGUGCAAACCCACACUGCCCAACAAGAUUUUGGCUGAGAGUCAAGAACUGUCAUUUCUUAAUUCAGCCUUGAUGCUGGGAAAGGGUCCUUCACAGAACAUUCGCUCGCUAUCGGGUCAUCUGCAGCAUCCCUUAUACCGCUGUCACUUCAUAUGAGACACAGAAACUGAGCAAAGGUGAAACAGUUGGCGUGGUUUGUGUGUGGAAGCUAAGGUCAAGACUGGUCAGCAGCUGGAAACAUCCCCGUGCAGUAACUCAGGCUUUAUUGACAGCAGAUCUGGAUUCAAAUCCUGGCUUUGGGCAUGUUACUUGGUACUGAUAAACCACAUGUUUUUUUUUUUUUUUUAGUGAUGAUGCUUAUCGGCUGUAAGAAUUCAGUCAGAUAGCACAGGUGGGAUGCCAGGUACAGGGCCUGGACUGUACUGAGCAAGGACUAUGCAGUCCUGCUUAUUUUGACAACCCAACAUCAGACCGUGGCUCGUGUCUGCCUCGCCCUGAGCUUGUGUUCCAUCUACCUGCUUCCCAAGUGGAGAGCUGACCACAGGGACAGACAGGUGGCUUGUAGCACCGAAGGCCACCGCACAGCAGUGCUCUGGUUCACUGACUUGGGAAUAUGAGUAAACUCUGAACAAAGAAAUGACUUGCAGAGUUGUUCACUGAACUUCCACAUUUUAGUCACAGGCACACCAUCCCUAAAAUGGCAACCCAACUGAAGGUUCUGCUCCAGGCUAAACUGGCAGCAGGCCUCCUUUAUACGGCUCCUCUCUUAGCCGCCAGUGUUUGAGGUGGUGGGAUGCAGCUGCCCAGUCUGAUAGUCCAGCUCCAGUCAGAACUCAGCAAAUCUCAGGCCUGUUGCCUAGGCUUCCUGAUGGCUGCUUACGGUUCUACGGGCAGAAGGGAGGCCCUUUUCCCUCCUAGCUAAGUAGUGGGAAUUAAGCCUCGUGACCAGUUUGGUCAGUAAGGUGCCCCAAGGCCUGAUGGCCAGCUGCCCCUUGGUGUUUUACCAAUAGCCACAGGACCAGUUCUCAAUGGCUACUCUGUCUUGUGGUCAUGUUGUUCGAGAGGACGGACAGUGCAUUCAUAGAACAUUUUGGGCAUAAUGGGCCAUGUGAUUCAGAGAAAAAAAAAAACUUGGUCAGGCUUUUGUGCUUCUAUCUAUGCUCAGACAAUAGCAAGUGACUCAGACGUUUUCACUGGGGCCCCCGAGUCACCCAUAUAAGACUUGAAAAAUGACUCAUGACUCAGCGCCCCUUUCCCAAGGCAGACAAGCCCUCACUUCUGCUUUGCAGACAAAGACCCAACAGCUUCAGGAUGGUUUGUCCCUCCUUCCAAAUGAACUCUCAGCACGAUCAGGUAUACUGCAUAUGUGGCAUUGGUGAAGUCACGGUUGCCCUACCACGUUUUGUUCCUAUAUUCCUGGCAGAAAAGGGAAAGUAAGACCUGAUUCCUCCUCCAACGGGAUUCUUCUUGGGGGUUGAGAAGUCAACUCCUCAUGACCGUGUGACAGAUUAGGGACAACUGUAACAGGGCUGAGGAGGUGGCUCAGUGGGUAAAGUGUUGGUUGCGAACCCAUGAGGUUAGUGCCCAGAACUUA
RNAcentral lists this long non-coding RNA (2412 nucleotides) under Mus musculus (house mouse). Its description in RNAcentral is "long non-coding RNA chr7:49251163-49253575". The record is from RNAcentral. Lineage: Eukaryota; Metazoa; Chordata; Mammalia; Rodentia; Muridae.